This is a long non-coding RNA of Danio aesculapii, 527 nucleotides long. RefSeq lists it as uncharacterized. The transcript has 3 exons. The record is from RefSeq and is a predicted model, not a curated record. Lineage: Eukaryota; Metazoa; Chordata; Actinopteri; Cypriniformes; Danionidae.
GCGGCUAUCGCUAAGUUUAAACCGUUGGUGGUGUAACAUGGUUUGUUGGAAAAGUCUAACGCCUAACUUCCCUCCGUCAGACGGCCUCGAGUCCAGCCCAGACACCAGGCAGCAGUGGCGCUUCUACGGCUACCUGACCGGCUACCUGACCUGCAUCACGGGCCAUCGCUGUGGGGUCUUCCAGAACCUGACCAUCCAGGAGGUCCAAGAGGCUUCCAGAAGCCCGGACGAGUCCGCCUAUGUCAUAAACAUCCAGUCCCUGUCGAACCCUGAACAAAUAUUUUCAAUCUGCAUGGACCAGCAUGGGGCUUCCCGGCAAGCCCACCUUCACUGACGUCCGAACUGCCAUCGCGACCCACGCAAAGAAUUCACAUUCUUCCGAGGAUCGCAGGAAGGUGGCCCAAUUCAUGUGCCACGAUACCUCAACCUCAGACAAGUUCUACGCGCUUCACCUAGGCCCUCUCCAAGCACGUGAGCACCGCAGACUCUUCGAGAGGGCCUUGGUGGAGGAGGAGGAGGAGGAGGAG